Caerostris darwini is the source of this 80-nucleotide non-coding RNA. The record is from the annotation of a GenBank genome assembly. Lineage: Eukaryota; Metazoa; Arthropoda; Arachnida; Araneae; Araneidae.
CGUUAGAUCACCGAAGUCAAGCAUCAUUGGGCGCGGUCAGUACUUGGGUGGGUGACCACCUGGGAACACCACGUGCCGUU